AUAAUACUCCCUCCGUCCAAACAUACUUGUCUUUACAAUGAAUAAAAAGGGAUGUAUCUAGAACUAAAAUACGUCUACAUCUCCUUUUAUUCAUCUUGAUGACAAGUACUUCCGGACGGAGGGAGUAUUUG
Molecule: non-coding RNA, 131 nt
Organism: Triticum aestivum (bread wheat)
Lineage: Eukaryota; Viridiplantae; Streptophyta; Magnoliopsida; Poales; Poaceae
Source: Rfam